RNAcentral lists this unclassified non-coding RNA (400 nucleotides) under uncultured bacterium. RNAcentral's name for it is "contains 16S-23S intergenic spacer region". The stretch from base 1 to 127 matches the Rfam family "5.8S ribosomal RNA", at positions 30 to 154 of the family's 154-position model. The record is from RNAcentral.
GCAUCGAUGAAGAACGCAGCAAAAUGCGAUACCUGGUGUGAAUUGCAGAAUCCCGCGAACCAUCGAGUUUUUGAACGCAAGUUGCGCCCGAAGCCUUCUGGCGGAGGGCACGUCUGCCUGGGCGUCACGCCAAAAGACACUCCCAACACCCCCCCGCGGGGCGAGGGACGUGGCGUCUGGCCCCCCGCGCCGCACGGCGAGGUGGGCCGAAGCAGGGGCUGCCGGCGAACCGCGCCGGGCGCAGCACGUGGUGGGCGACAUCAAGUUGUUGUUCUCGGUGCAGCGUCCCGGCGCGCGGCCGGCCAUUCGGCCCUAAGGACCCAUCGAGCGACCGAGCUUGCCCUCGGACCGCGACCCCAGGUCAGUCGGGACUACCCGCUGAGUUUAAGCAUAUCAAUAA